AUACGUAGGUGACAAGCGUUAUCCGGAUUUACUGGGCGUAAAGGGCGUGUAGGCGGUCUUGCAAGUCAGAAGUGAAAUUCCUGAGCCCAACUCGGGCGCUGCUUCUGAAACUGCAGGACUUGAGUGCUGGAGGGGAUAGCGGAAUUCCUAGUGGAGCGGUAAAAUGCGCAGAUAUUAGGAAGAACACCGGUGGCGAAGGCGUCUUUCUGGACAGAAACUGAGCCUGAGGCGCGAAAUCGUGAGGAGCAAACAGGAUUAGAUACCCUGGUAGACCACGCCGUAAACGAUGAAUACUAGGUGUAGGGGGUAUCGACUCCCUCUGUGCCGCAGUUAACACAAUAAGUAUUCCGCCUGGGGAGUACGGCCGCAAGGUUGAAACUCAAAUGAAUUGACGGGG
Molecule: ribosomal RNA, 397 nt
Filed under: uncultured bacterium
Lineage: Bacteria
Description: partial 16S ribosomal RNA
Rfam family: Bacterial small subunit ribosomal RNA
Source: RNAcentral